Long non-coding RNA from Cynocephalus volans (Philippine flying lemur), 619 nucleotides. RefSeq lists it as uncharacterized. The transcript has 3 exons. The record is from RefSeq and is a predicted model, not a curated record. Lineage: Eukaryota; Metazoa; Chordata; Mammalia; Dermoptera; Cynocephalidae.
GGGCAGAGUUAAGGGUCUGAUUAUGUGUGUCCAAGUGUGAGGAGAACAAGAGGAGAAAGAGCAGAGUAAGGAAACAAAAUAGGAGAAAAUGAGGCAGGAGUAAUGAAGAGAAGUCAUCUUCAUGGACUCCAGUUUCAAAGAUUAACUAUGGAAGAAAUCAGAAUUCAGCUUCCCCAGGGACAGCAAGGCCAAGGAGUUUUCCAGAUCCAUCUUGGCCUCUCCCAAGGCACUUCAAAUGAGAUCUUGGAGGACCAUUAACUAUGGACCUAAUAAGAGGACAAAGAAACCAGCCUUGCAGAGGAACUGACAUUUUUCCUUGUUCCCAGGACACGCAUUGCUCAGACCUACAAGACGCUGAAGCAUGUUUAGAGAUUGAGUUGAGAGGAGGUGGCUGUGGAUUAGAAGAGAGGAGUAACUGAUGAAGUAGAACCCCAGAGGAUACGGGACGGACUGCAUCAACAGCUCAGAGGAAGAGGUCUGGCUUUAAACAGAAGGAAGGACCCCUCACCAGAGUCUGGAAGAUGAAAGCAGAUGAAGACAACUUUUUAACUGAAGGACAGGAAGUGGACAUAAUCUCAUCUGAUGUAUUAAAUAUUUUCAAUAAAGUAGGAGAUAAGAU